GUCUACGGCCAUGCUACCCUGAACAAGCCCCAUCCCAUCUGAUCUCGGGAGCUAAGCAGGGUCAGGCCUGAUUAGUACUUGGAAGGGAGACCACCUAGGAAGACCAGGUGCUGUAGGCG
This 119-nucleotide ribosomal RNA is filed under the name Pteropus alecto (black flying fox). The record is from RNAcentral. RNAcentral also lists the same sequence under 1 other name. Lineage: Eukaryota; Metazoa; Chordata; Mammalia; Chiroptera; Pteropodidae.